GGAUUCUCCAAGCAAGAAUACUGGAGUGGGUUGUCAUUUCCUUCUCCAAUGUACUCUACUACUAAUAACAUUAAAUAUAACAUUUACUAAAUUAUUAUAACAUAAUUUGAUUCUCAUGAUUCUUUACUAUGCUCUAAGGUUAUUAUUGGAAUGAAAACAGACAUUUUCCAGUCCUGUGCCCACCGCUGAGUUUUCCAAAUUUGCUGGCAUAUUGAGUGCAGCACUUUCACAGCAUCAUCUUUCAGGAUUUGAAAUAGCUCAACUGGAAUUCCAUCACCUCCACUAGCUUUGUUCAUAGUGAUGCUUUCUAAGGCCCACUUGACUUCACAUUCCAGCAUGUCUGGCUCUAGAUGAGUUAUCACACCAUCGUGAUUAUCUGGGACAUAAAGAUCUUUUUCGUACAGUUCUUCUGUGUAUUCUUGCCACCUCUUCUUAAUAUCUUCUGCUUCUGUUAGGUCCAGUCCAUACCAUUUCUGUCCUUUAUUGUGCCCGUCUUUGCAUGAAAUAUCCCCUUGGUAUCACUAAUUUUCUUGAAGUGAUCUCUAGUCUUUCCCAUUCUAUUGUUCUCUAUUUCUGUGCAUUGAUCGCUGAGGAAGGCUUCUUUAUCUCUUCUUGCUCUUCUUUGGAUCAGUGCAUUCAGAUGCUUAUGUCUUUCCUUUUCUGAAUAUUGCCUGUUAGGGUAAAGGGAAUAAAUAGUCUGUAGGGACAACACUGUAAAACACAAACAAUACUAAGUUAUAUUAAACUAGAUUUCAAAAUGGGCUUCCCCAGAGGCUCAGCAGUAAAGAAUCUGCCUGUGAUGCAGGAGGUACAGGGGACGUGGAUUCAGUCCCUGGGUUGGGAAGUUCCCCUGGAGGAGGGCAUGGCAACCCACCCCAGUAUUCUNNNNNNNNNNNNNNNNNNNNNNNNNNNNNNNNNNNNNNNNNNNNNNNNNNNNNNNNNNNNNNNNNNNNNNNNNNNNNNNNNNNNNNNNNNNNNNNNNNNNUUCUUUGGAACUCUGCAUUCAGAUGCUUAUAUCUUUCCUUUUCUCCUUUGCUUUUCGCCUCUCUUCUUUUCACAGCUAUUUGUAAGGCCUCCCCAGACAGCCAUUUUGCUUUUUUUGCAUUUCUUUUCCAUGGGGAUGGUCUUGAUCCCUGUCUCCUGUACAAUGUCAUGAACCUCAUUCCAUAGUUCAUCAGGCACUCUAUCUAUCAGAUCUAGGCCCUUAAAUCUAUUUCUCACUUCCACUGUAUAAUCAUAAGGGAUUUGAUUUAGGUCAUACCUGAAUGGUCUAGUGGUUUUCCCUACUUUCUUCAAUUUAAGUCUGAAUUUGGCAAUAAGGAGUUCAUGAUCUGAGCCACAGUCAGCUCCUGGUCUUGUUUUUGUUGACUGUAUAGAGCUUCUCCAUCUUUGGCUGCAAAGAAUAUAAUCAAUCUGUUUUCGGUGUUGACCAUCUGGUGAUGUCCAUGUAUUGAGUCUUCUCUUGUGUUGUUGGAAGAGGGUGUUUUUGCUAUGACCAGUGCAUUUUCUUGGCAGAACUCUAUUAGCCUUUGCCCUGCUUCAUUCCAUAUUCCAAGGCCAAAUUUGCCUGUUACUCAGGUGUUUCUUGACUUCCUACUUUUGCAUUCCAGUCCCCUAUAGUGAAGAGGACAUCUUUUUUGGGUGUUAGUUCUAAAAGGUCUUGUAGUUCUUCAUAAAACUGUUCAACUUCAGCUUCUUCAGCGUUACUGAUUGGGGCAUAGACUUGGAUUACCGUGAUACCGAAUGAUUUGCCUUAGAGAUAAACAGAGAUCAUUCUGUCGUUUUUGAAAUUGCAUCCAAGUACUGCAUUUCAGACUCUUUUGUUGCCCAUGAUGGCUACUCCAUUUCUUCUGAGGGAUUCCUGUCCUCAGUAGUAGAUAUAAUGGUCAUCUGAGUUAAAUUCACCUAUUCCAAUCCAUUUUAGUUCGCUGAUUCCUAGAAUGUUGAUGUUCACUCUUGCCAUCUCUUGUUUGACCACUUCCAAUUUGCCUUGAUUCAUUGACCUGACAUUCCCGGUUCCUAUGCAAUAUUGCUCUGUACAGCAUCGAACCUUGCUUCUAUCAUCUGUAACAUCCACAGCUUGGUAUUGUUUUUGCUUUGGCUCCUUCCUUUCAUUCUUUCUAGAGUUAUUUCUCCACUGAUCUCCAGUAGCAUAUUGGGCACCUACUGACCUGGGGAGUUCCUCUUUUAGUAUUCUAUUAUUUUGCCUUUUUGUACUGUUCAUGGGGUCUCAGGGCAAGAAUACUGAAGUGGUUUGCCAUUCUCUUCUCCUGUGGACCACAUUCUGUCAGACAUCUCUACCAUGACCUGCCCAUCUUGGGUUACCCCGAGGGCAUGGCUUAGUUUCAUUGAGAUAGACAAGGACAUCUCUACCAUGACCCGCCCAUCUUGGGUUGUCCCGCAGGCAUGGCUUAGUUUCAUUGAGUUAGACGAGGCUGUGGCCUUAGUGUGAUUAGAUUGGCUAGUUUUCUGUGAGUAUGGUUUCAGUGUGUCUGCCCUCUGAUGCCCUCUUGCAACACUACCAUCCUACUUGUGUUUCUCUUACCUUGGCUGUGGAUAUCUCUUCAGGGCUACUCCAGCAAAGCACAGCCACUGUUCCUUACCUUUGAUGAGGGGUAUCUCCUUACUCCCGCCCUUCCUGACCUUCAAUCUGGGAUGGCUCCUCUAUGCCCUCCUGCACCCACACAGCCACUGCUCCUUUGAGGUGGGGUUUCCACUCCCAGCUGCGGCCCCUGGCUUCAGACACGGGGUGGCUCCUCUCAGAGGCUGUUCCUGCACCCUCACAGCCUGGCACUCUAGGCCACUGCCCCUGACCUCGGACGUGGGGUAACUCCUCUUGGCUGCCACCCUUUGGGCAUAGGGUCCUCCUUAUAGCAUACCUAAAGUUUUUG
Molecule: long non-coding RNA, 2891 nt
Filed under: Ovis aries (sheep)
Lineage: Eukaryota; Metazoa; Chordata; Mammalia; Artiodactyla; Bovidae
Description: lncRNA (ENSOARG00000026266.1)
Source: RNAcentral